RNAcentral lists this small nuclear RNA (227 nucleotides) under Octodon degus (degu). RNAcentral's name for it is "7SK RNA (ENSODEG00000022479.1)". The stretch from base 1 to 180 matches the Rfam family "7SK RNA". Rfam says of the family: 7SK was discovered as an abundant small nuclear RNA in the mid-70s but a possible function has only recently been suggested. Two independent studies have found that 7SK RNA binds the CDK9/cyclin T complex (known as elongation factor P-TEFb). The record is from RNAcentral. Lineage: Eukaryota; Metazoa; Chordata; Mammalia; Rodentia; Octodontidae.
GGGUGUGAGGGUGAUCUGGCUCUGGCCUCUGUCACCCUGCUGGUCACCUGGGUGGAUGAGGCUCAUCUGGCUGUCUGGGCGAGUGUGGCCUUUCUCCCUCACUGUCCAAGUGCUUCCCUUCUGAAGCUGUAUUCUCCAGCAAAGAGAGCAGUCACAUCAUUAGAGGAGGACUACACCACUAGCUGUGCUCUUCGAAACAAGCUCUCGAGGAAGUGGCUCCUGCAGUU